This 543-nucleotide ribosomal RNA is filed under the name Myxine sp. 1 CHK-2001. RNAcentral's name for it is "partial 16S ribosomal RNA". It matches the Rfam family "Bacterial large subunit ribosomal RNA", at positions 1842 to 2617 of the family's 2925-position model. Lineage: Eukaryota; Metazoa; Chordata; Myxini; Myxiniformes; Myxinidae. The record is from RNAcentral.
UGGAUAAUAAGUCCUACCUGCCCGUGAUUUUUUUCAACGGCCAUCUUAGAUGAUAACGUAGCAUAAUCAAUUGUCUAUCAAUUGUAGACUAGAAUGAAUGGAUUAACGAAAGCCGAACUGUCUCCUACUUCCUAUCAAUGAAAUUAACCUCUCUGUCCAAAGGCAGAGAUUGGCCUAUAAGACGAAAAGACCCUAAAAGCUUCAAAUAUUAGAUUAAUCUACCUUAAACAACAACUAAAGAAAAGUUUUAAUUCUUAAAAAUUUGGUUGGGGCAACCGUUGAUACUAAAAAAUCAUCAAUAAUUUAACUAAAAACUUAUAUAAUAUUAGAAUCACAUUUCAAUUAAGUAAGAAACUUAUAAAAAUGACCCAGAAAUCUGAUCAAUGAACAAGUUACUUUAGGGAUAACAGCGCUAUUUCUUUUUAAAGUUCCCAUCGACAAAGAAGCUUACGACCUCGAUGUUGGAUUAAGAUAAGUGGCGCAAAAGCUACUAAUGGUUCGUUUGUUCAACGAAUAAUAUCUUACGUGAUCUGAGUUCAAACC